RNAcentral lists this long non-coding RNA (21508 nucleotides) under Ananas comosus (pineapple). RNAcentral describes it as "long non-coding RNA (ACOM_LNC011669)". Lineage: Eukaryota; Viridiplantae; Streptophyta; Magnoliopsida; Poales; Bromeliaceae. The record is from RNAcentral.
CUUUUACAGGUUACAAUAAAAGAUUUUUCUUUUUGUGUGUGUUUUAAAGUUUUACAAGAUUGUAUGCUAGACCUAUAUCCAAAAAGACUAUUUAUUUAGUAACUUCAGUUGAAGAGAGAGGGCUUGAAGUAUUAAUAAAGUUUACGGCGUCUAAUUUCUAAAAUUGAAUUUUUAUGAGUUUGUUUAAAAAGCGCGUCAGUUUAGAGGGUUUUUGUUCGGUUUUUUCCUUUAUUAUUUAGGCAUCAAUGUUUAUAAAUUACGAUGAAAUCGUCACUUCUUUAAUUGCCAUCAACUUUUAGCUGAUAAAUCAAUGAAAUUUUAUUGAAGAUAAAAUGUAAACAAUAAACUUUUAAUAGUAGGUUAGACAUUUUAAAAAUAAUUGAUUAUUUUACAUGGUAUUAAAGCAGUAGAUUCUAAAAUUAAACAGGCUUCUAAAUUACAUCCACUGUAACCUCUAAUCUGAGGACUGUGAAGUAGAUGGAAAAUAGGUCCCGCACAAACUGUAGGAGAAAUUCUAAGCUUAGAAGAGCAUAAAUUAAAAUGCACUUGGACUAAUUUCGAGCUUAAAAUCAUCAAAUAGAUUGCGACAUGCUCCAAAAGUAGACAUGAACCAAAGAAAUUGAAGUCAAAGCCAAACAAUUGGUGAGUACAUAUCCAUAAAUUGACAUAAAAUUUAUCCGGAAUAAUAUUAACACCUUCAUUUACCAGCAUAGUGAAAUUAACAUAAGCGCAGCCCAUGACUAUCUAAUGUUGAAAUUGAACUCACCAAACACAACCUAUCAAUUAUCAAACUCUGAAAUUGAAACCACGAUCUCACAGAACUUAAAAUGGCUGAUAUCUAAAAGGACUCAUUACCGGCUAGCCUACCAUGUUGCCUAUGAAAUUGUUUAUUAGUUGAAUCAAAUUCGGAUUCUCCUUUGUAAUCAUAAUAUCUUCUGUUCACAAGGCUAUUUAUAUCAUAUUGUAAAAAGAAUAAUCAAAGAGCUUUUCUAUAUUAUGCUGCAUAGUCAGCUUUCCAGCUUCAUCAUCAAUCAAUGAGUUACCACAUACCCUUUUUUCUUUGGAGAACGAUGGGAUGCUCCUAUUUCUUUUAUUUUUUUUAAAAAAAAUAAAUUUAGUUGAAAAUAUGAAACAAUUAAAUUCCAAAUUUAAUACCUCGAGUAUUGGUCAUCAAGCCCUUCGUCACUUAUCUCAUUAAGUAAACAAAAGAGAUGCCAAAGACAUGCACUGAAACAAAUCCUAAUAAAUAAAGGGGAUAAUUACCUGCAUACUCCUUAAUUAAAGACUUUUAUGUUCACUCCUAAAAGUGAUAAAAUCAACCCCUCUAGGAUGCGUUUGGUUUGAAGUCGGAAUCAGAAUUAGAAUCGGAAUCAAAAUAAGCUGGAAUCGGAAUCGCUAAUUUUGUUUGGUUCGUUACCUGAAUCGGAAUCGAAAUAAAUCAUUCUUAUUGUCGGUGUUUGGUUUAGGUAGAUAUAAAAAACGUAAUCAAAUUAAUAUACUAACUUUAUCUUUACAAUAUAUUAAUUUAAAUUCAAAUUGAAAAUUAAAUAUUAAAAAUUUACAUCAAAAUUUUGAAAUAAUGUCAAAAUUUUAAAUUUUUUUUUUAAAAAAAAUUAAACUUUGAAGUUGAGUGGAUAAUUCAAAAUAUAAAACUAAAUUUCGAUUUAUUCAAAUUCAAACUUAAAAUUACAAUUUAACUUAAAAUUACAGUUUUAAAUAAAAUUUGAAUAAAACUUUAUAUAAAUUAAAAUUUAAUUUAAAUUCAAAUUUAUAAGUUAGAUUCAAAAUACUUAAUUAAAUUUUAAUUUUUAAAUCAAAUUCAAAAUUCAAAUUUAAAAUUAUAAAUUUAAUUUUUAAAUUUAAACUCAUAUUUUAAUUAAAAAAAAUUAAAAAAAUAAAUUUAAUCCGAAUAAAUAUCUAUUUCGUCAUAAUUCAACUUUCAAUCCGGACUCCUAGGCCGGAUUGAAAAAAUAGAUGAUUGAAAAUUUUUCAUUCCACUCGGGAAUCAGAAUCGGAAGAUAACUCCCGCAUAUCAAACACGAAUUCAUCCAUUUCAAUUCCAAUUCUAUUGGUCGUUAUUUUUAUAUUUCUUUUCAGUUACUAUACGUCGAUGACCCCAGAGAGACAAAAACGAUGACAACCAGCCCUUUACCCCCACCCUCGUCGCCAAUCUCCAGAGGGUCCUCACUAGAAGAAAGGACGGAGACGGCAGCACCACCAGUAAUAUAAAGCCAUAUUAGAAAAACAUAUUUAAAAGCACAAAUGAGUUUUUUUACGGAGUUAACAACUAAUUUCACCAGUAGACAAAAUUUUAGAGGAGAGUCACCACACUUACCUUUUUAGGAGUAAAUAUUGAAGUCAGAGUACUUUUGCGGAGUACUUAAAGCAGCACCAGAUAGUGAAUGGCCCACAAGAGAGAAAAAUUCCAACAAAAUAAUUUGCACCAGAACACAGCGUAGAAAGAGCAAGGAAAACCAUAAAACCAAGCUAUUCAUUUUAUAACCUAUAGAACCGAAGCAUUGCAUUACAAAAUUUCUGAGAAAAGAGUAUCUAUACUGCCCUUCUAAACCUGAUCUGAUGGGUUGUUCCUAACCAUCACAUCAACCAUCAGAAUCUCAGUUAAAAGCACCAAAGAGAGAGAAAGAGAGAUUCUCUUUGCUCUUCUACAUUCUAUAGAGAGAGAGAGAGAGAGAGAGAGAGAGAAAAUUCCUUCACCAGCCCACCAGCCCACCUAUCCUGUUUCCCAAGAACCCAACCAAAAAUAAAAAGAGAAGAGAGAGAGAGAGAGAGAGAGAGAGAAGGGAAAAAAAGAAAAAAGGAAAAAAAAAAAAAGAAAAUUAAUGAAUGAAUCUUGAUGGCACCAUUAAAUGUACACGGCUGCUAAAGCUGGAAAGUUUUUAAAAAGAAGAAAAAAAAAGAAGAAAACUAGUCAAUUUGUGCCGCUGCCCCCUUUGAUAUCAUCUCAUAUUGCAGCACUGAGGUCUCCCAGCCUGCAACUUAUCCCACAUGCACAUCAUCUGCCUCGGGGAUUGGUAGUGCGCGGUGUAGUAAUCAUCUAUGCAGCCGAAUUGGCAAAACUUGACGCUGUGGACGUACUCCACGGCUCUCGAGCUGUUGAACUGCUCCACCCACAUGCCCAUGCUCACAUCUUCCAUCUUAAACAGCUGCAUUAUAUGCCCACUUUCAUAGUCAACUUCCAACUACAAGUGAUCUAUCCGACUACUUAAUAAGUGUGCGUAUGAAAAGUCCGGCCAUUUUUCACAUAUUUUGAAUGGUUUAAGUUUUUUGAGAAAAUUUAAGAUAAUUGAGUAGUUGUAGACAGCAAUAACAUGCGAUGCUCUUAGCAGUUGAUUAGCUAAUAAAAAGAGGCCUUUUUUUAAAGGAAAAAAAACUCCAGACGGAUGCCAAAAAACCUAAUUAGAAACUGACGAGAUUACAAACUGCUAGUGAAACUCUGGUGAUUUUAACUUUUCCCAAGUGUACGAAACAUAAAAUGCGAGAUAUGCUUACUCUUAAUUUAUGUUUCUCAAAUUCCGAUACAAUGAAGUGUGCGAUGUCAGAGGAUACAACAUAGCCAGGACCAUUUGCAUAGGGUGGAUAAUCUUCUUCCGGCCAUUCCUGAAAAUAGGGAAGGCCAAAUUAAUUCAAUAAGCAAAAAGUGGAGGCAUUCAUGUCAUAGACUCAAUAGCAGUUGUUAUCAUCAGAAUGUUGAAGUUAAUUGACAUUAAAUUUCACUAACAACCAACAGAAAAAAAUAAGAAGAGGUCCCAUUAAAUCGAUAAUUAAGUGCAAUAACAAACUAUAACAAAAGAGUUCUCUAGUGAGAUGCAGUGCACAUUCCAACAAUCAAUUCUCUGAAUAAAAAACUGGUAAAAUACAUUUGCAACUACAAAUAUAACUACAAAUAAGCAGCGGUCUUACGUUGUUCCUCAAAUGAAAAUGUCGAGCCGUGUGAAAGCUUAUUAAAGAAAACUCUAGCAUACCAGAACCAACAAAUGCCGGGUGUAAGAAAGCAGGGUAUACGAAACCAUAUCCUGUUACGGACCUAGUUUUUUCUGUGGCCUGAACUACAAAAACGUGAUAAUUUUUUUGCAAGCUGUUAACCACUACAUGACGCGAACAGCUCGUUUGAGAACAAUGAAAGAAUAGAAAUACUUGACGAAGUUCAAUGCUUUGCUACUUUAAAUAAAUGCUCGUGAAUGGAAGUAAAAAAAAUAUAAAGCAAAAAUUACUAGUAGAAAUAUCUAGAGAGAAGCAGCAAUUAACAAAAAGCCUGCAACCGGCCUCCCUAAAUUCAUUCAGACUCGAGAGUUGCCUACAACAUUAUAAUCAGCUGACCUAGUGUUCCUAUAUAUAAUAAAUCACCUUUCCAAGGAGAUAUUAGAAACUUUUAACAUUACAUCUACAAGAUAUAGAUGCUACAGUUGAGGGCUCUCCUCUCCUAAAAUAGCAUGAUUAUUACAUCAUUGAACUGGUAUAACUACCACUACCCAACACUACAUAAUUGUGCAACUGUAUUCCAUGUGAACCUUGUUAGGAUAGACCAACAUGAUCUCUAAGUUGAGCAAUCAACCGCAAUAAAAAAUAUUCGGAUGAUAUUCAGCUUUACUUUUUAAGUGGACGUGCAAAAGUUAUGCCUACUCCCAUUCCAACCAUGUAUCACAUCAAGGCAUUAUCCUUUUCUCAAUUAAACAGUUCAAAAUCCCACAUCCAGAUCCUUUGAAACCCAUGGCAGAACCAACCUGCCCAAUACUUUAGACAGGAGUACAUUGCUCAAAAUGGAAGGCCAGUACUAACAAAGUACAUAAAACACAGAAAGAAUGGAAGAUCAUCUUAAUAACAUAGCAGAAAAUCGGUAGCAAUUCCAAAUAUCAUAACAAGUAAACACAAACCACUUGUCAUAAAUCAGAAUGCUAAGAGCUUGUUUGGCCCAGCAUCUAUUAUUACAGCUGCCCUUAGAGCCAAACUAGACUGUUUGGCCUGGCAGCUUGAAGCGCGGUGGUGGCCCACAACUAUAUAAAUAUUCGGGUCUGCAAAAGCACCAACCUAGUGCUUUCCUCCCGUUCCACAGUGCAGUAAAGGAUCCAACCAUGCAGCCAGGCCAAACAAUCCCAAAUCAAAAAAAAAAAAAAAGAAAAAAAGAGAAACCUCAACAGAAGAUGCAUGUCAACACCCAAUUAGGUAAUAGCAAACACAACAUUGACGUCCAUUAUCUGUUGCAUAUACCUGAAGAUUCGCAAAUAAUACCUUGUAACCAAAUGAAAAGAAAAAAAAAAUUGCUUCAUUACCUCAUACGUGACUGCCCAUUUCCCUUCUCGCAAUGGUUUGUGGUAGUAAUUCAUGUUUCCCACAUACAAGCUUUUAUCAUUUGGUAUUUUCCUGACUUCAGCCAACACUGCACCAAGCCUAACAAAGGUAUCAUCAUCACACUUCAUCACAUACUGCGCAGAAACUGCACGAACCUGGGUGAACAUAAUUUUAAAAAACGGAAGAUUAUUGCCAAGAAUAUGAUCAAAACUAUUAAUUGGAAAGUUUUCAAAGGCAUCUCGAUUCACUCAUAUAGCAGAUUCUAGCAUUGCAUACCCCAUACUCGCAAAUGGCAACAGUCUUCAGAACAACAAGAUCGUAGCUAUCCAGAAAAGGCACGAUAACAAUAUCACCAAAAAACGCUGCCUCUUUCUUCAACUCCGCAUUCACUUCCUUUCGUCCAUGCUGUUCAGAAACAAAUCGCACAUUUUGAGUUCUCGAUCACGUAAUAAAGUAGUUAAAUUGAAGCAUUACAGAUCUAGAAAUUACCAGGGCAACAAAAAAACGAGCCACAAUAUUGGAUGAUUUUCUAACAGCUGACAUCCACGACUUCCUGACAGCCAUACGUUCUGCAAAGUGGUUGCCCGCCGAUAAUAUGCCAAUGAACAACUCAACAGGUCCAUCAGGAAGAGGUGGGGCCUUCCAUUCCGUGGACAUCUCUAAAUGCCUUUGCGGAGCGAAGCUAGGAUGUGAUGUGGGCAAAGAACCGGCAAAUAUCGACUGGAUUUCAAGGUCCCCAUUCAACGACAAACCAGUAGCAUCCUCAAGAAUAAAUCCCUGUCAAUUGCACCCACCCAAAAAAAAAAAAAAAAAAAAAAAAUUGUGAAUUGAAGAGUGCUAAAACCAAAAGAAGAAACACUUAAAAACAUAAGUAGGUAAUUUUGAAGGUGCCACUCACCGUGCGGUAAGGGAAAGAAGUGACAUGCCUUCCGUCGACAUUGACAUGGUAACCUUCCAAGCCAGCACUCAGAGUGAGAACAAAAAGUUUGUCUUCGACGAAAGGAUACGGCCAAUCGAUAGAAACCUUCUUCGUCCGACCGAUCAAACGGUUCAACCACCACGUCGUCUUCGACUCCUCCGACCGGUCGUCAUCAUCCCGAAUCCAUUUCUCACACUUAACUAGCCCAUCAACUAUAUUGCAACCAGCGACCAAUGCGUACAAAAUCAAACUCCAAAAACAAUGGGCGUUUCGAAAAAGUUUUCUUAAAUUAACAAACAGAAGUAACGUCACUACUCAUUAGAAAUGAAAGGACUUUAACGCAACCAGUUGAAAAGGGGAAGCUUACUAGUCUCUUCAUCAGCUCUGGAUUUCCAACCCUCGCAGCGGAGGGCGGAGCCCCACUGCAUGCGGUAGCAAGUGUUCUGCUCGAUCACCGGCUUGCCGCUCCAAUCGCCCUUCAACCGGGGGUUGAAGUGGAGGAUCCUGGGCGGAUCCUCGCCGUCGACCGUCUUGAGCCCUUGCAGCUCCAUCAUGAACUGCGAAACCAUGAUCGCCUGAUCCCCUUCCUUCAAAAUCGUGAUCUUGGGGUCGUAUUCGGGGUGCGCCGGGUAGGGUUUCGCCACGAGCGUGAGGUGGGAGCCGAGGGUGAGGCCGCAGGGGAGCACCAUCAGCCUCCCCCGCUCCCGGAACUCCGCCCCGGUCAUGAUGAUCGAGUGGGGGCACUUCUCCUCCUCCGUCCGAUUCGACAACGCCGCCGCCGUGGCGGGGGACGGCAGCGGGGAGGCCCGCAGCUCCUCGAAGAGCUUCCGCCCCACCUCCCACGCGUCCCGCGCCGCCCUGUGGAGCUCCGAGAAGGGGCCGCCGCGCCCGGUGGCGUUCAGCUGCCGGAAAUCGAGCCCGGAGACGAUCCCGGCGCGGCCGCGCCGCCGCAGGAUAUCGGGGAGCGGCGGCGGCGAGGACGCCGACGACGUGAGGAUCCGGUAGGACUGCUUCGAGGGGCGCACGGGCGCCGCCUCCUCGCUGCCGAGAUGGAGGGCAUGGGCCGCGCCGUCGCCGCCCCCGCCGCCGCCGCCGCCGACGAGGCCGUCGCCGGGGACGGCGACGCGGCUGGAGGCCAAGAGCUCGUAGAAGACGAGGAGGGCGACGUAGAGGAGGGCGAGGGCGAGGAUGGCGUGGAGGGGCCAGUGGCGGCCGAGGGAGGCCGCCACGUCGAGCUUCGUUCGCUUCAUCCCCUUCCUCUCUCCCUCCCCCACCCCCCAACCCCUCCGACCCCAAAAUUCGAGGAAUCAAAGAGAAGGGUUUCGAGCGAUCGAUCUCCCUCUCCGAUCUCCAAGAACACCAACCCUAACCCUAGAAUCGCAGGAGCGGAGGAAACGAAGUGAGACCGCGUCGGAGUGGAGAUGACAGAGAACGCAGAAAGAACGAAAAAGAAAGAGAGAGAGGGAGAUAGAUAGAGAGAGGGGAAUAAAGCCGCUCAAGGUGCGUCUUUUUCAUAUGCAUCGAGUAUUUAUUUAUAAUUAUUCAUAUUUUAUAUUUUACUUUAAAACUAAAAUUAAAAUAAAAAAAGGAAUAUUUAUCUUCUCGUUUUUAUUUUAUUGUUUAAUCAGUUGAACGGUGAUAAGGAAUAAUAAUAAAUAUAUAUAUAUAUAAAUAUAUAUAUUUUUUAUAUAUAAUUUAAUAAUCAUUACAUUAUUAAUAAUUAAAAAAAAUAAAAAAAAAAAGAGAAAAAAAAGAACGAAAGUGGGGAAUGGGGAGGAAGUUGGGGGGUGGGAGCUUUCGGCACCUGGAGAACCGAAAAGCGUAACGCCGAGGGAGACGACGACGGCGACUUCGGAGUUCGGACUCGCGCGAGCGGGGAAAUCCGCCCGUUCCUGGAGAACAGCAAACACACAGCUUUCCUUUAAUAUUUUUUUAGAAAAAAAAAACUUCACAUACCGCCCAUAUAGUUUCGCAUUUUCUCACUUUAGUAUCUGUGAUUUAAAGUGUAUCAAACUAACAUCAUGUGGUUUUAUUUUUAUUUUUUCGUCAACUUUUCUGUUAAUAUUUUGUUAAAUUAUAUACAAAAAUUUUAAAUAUUUCAUAUAAAUUUAUCGAAUAUGCACGGUAAUAUUUUAUCUAAUUGUUCAUUAUCUACCGUCUAGUUUUUAUAGUAAUUAAGAACUCUAUGAAUGAAUUAAUAAUGAAAGAUAUAUUUGGAAACAAAAUUAAGAUAUUGUAUAUAAAUAUCAGAAAGCAAACAAACUAUUUGAAUAGUAAAAUUAAAAUUUUUUAACGUAGUUAUUUUAGAUAAAAUAAUAAGAUUUGUUUUUACAUUAGUUAACUUGAUAGAUUUAUUUAUUUUUCCAAUGUUAUAUAAUUUAAUAGGAUUAAUUUAUGCAUAUAUUAUAUAUAAAAAAAAAACUGAUUUUAAAAACAAAUAGACUUUUACCAGAUGUGAAGGAUGGAUUGUGAUCUGAUUGAAUCCAAACCAAACAUUCUAACGUGAAGACAGGUCAAACUUAAAUUGAUAUGGGCUUUUAUUUAUAUACCCUUUACUAAUAUUUAUAAUUUUUAAAUUUAUUUUUUAUAUUCAAACUAUUUUUUAAAAUUAAUAAAUUCUAAGAUUUUAAAAAUAUUUAAAAAAUUGAAAAUCAAUAGCAGUAUAUUUGAUAUCAUUCCGACUUAAGAUCACACCUUUUAAAAAAAAAAAAAUUCAGGGCUGCAAAAUGUGAUCAUAGAUAUUAUUAUAAAAUAAAAUUAUAUUGUAUUAAAUAAACAAAAAAUAAUUUUGUUAAAAAAUUUUGUAUGCAUGGGACUUGUGAUUAUCCUGUAGCAUAAACUGCAGAGUUCAAAAUUUUGUCCCCCUUCAAGUUUCAACAUCAGGCAUCAUAGUCAUAUUUAGUGUACCUAAAAUUUAAGUUUGGUGAAAGUAUAGACUUUAUUUAACUAUAGGCCAUUUUAAAUUGACUAUUUAAUCUUUCAAAUUUUUAAUUUUUCAUCCUAGAAUCAUUCCCGUCCUAACACGCUUAACUCUCUUAAGCUCUUGGACCUAGCUACCAUCCAAAACACUUAAGCCGGCUUAAAAGUUUAGCCCUAUUAUAUCUUAUAUAUAGGACUAUUUGGAGUCUCACAAUUUUUUCCCCUUUAAGCCUUGACGUUUUUGUCAGGCUCAGACUCAUAAGUAUCAGACGAUGUGAGACUCGUCUCGCUAGCCUUAUCAUUCCGAUCCCGACUUAACCAAAACUCAUCUCACACUUCCGGCUGAUAAUUGGCUCUAAUACCAACUGUAACGCCCCAACUUUCCAGGGGAUCACCCAUCCUAGGACUACUUCCGUCCUAACACGUUUAACUCUCUUAAUCUCUUGGGCCUAGCCACCACCUAAAAUGUUUAAGACAGGUUAAGAGUUUAACCAUAUUAUAUCUUAUAUAUAGAACUAUUUUGAGUCUCACAUAUACCAUCUAUCUACAAAGAUAAAUAACUCAUACAACUUUUUUCUAAGUCAAAGUAUCAUUUGCUAAUUCAAAUCAAACAAAUUAAAAAGUUGAGCAAUAAAAUGAAAAUCUUAUUGGAUUACCGAUUCCAAAUUGUUUAUAAGUCAAAUAGGUUCUGUACAUAUUAACCUUGGCUCCGUUUGGUUCGGAUAUAAAUAAGAACUAUCUAUUCCAGCGAUACAUAUAAGUUCAGGUAUAAAUAAGAAUUAGACUAAAUUUAAGUUUGGAUGAAAAUUUUAAAUUUUAAAUUUUAAAUUUUAAAUUAAAAAUUUAAAGUUUUAAAUUUUAAAAUUUAAAUUUAAUAUUAAAUUUUAUAAUUUGACAUUUUAUAUUUUUAAAAAUAUUUUUCAUUUUUCAAGGAAGCAAAGUGUAGGUUUUUAAAUGAUAAAGAAGAAAAGUGAAAAAGUGGGUAUUGACAGAAGAAUUUUCUGUAAUUUAGCCCUUUUUUAUCUAUAUGCUACCUGCUUUUAAUUGGGACUAUAUAAAAUCCGAAUAGAGUACAAGAUAUCAAAUAUUUGGACAUUUCUAAUUCACAUACUUCUUACUUUUCAACACUUAGCGGCCUUUUGGUUGGAUGUAAAUAGAAAUAUGCGUAGUUGAAGAUGUAUACAAUUCGAAAUACAACUGUUAUAAUUGUUGGUUAUUUAUUAUUGAGCUAAAAUAAGUCUAACUUUUUGCCCCAUGUUAAUAGGUUUAGAAGACUAAUAAGUUGAGUUGGGUAAGACUAAUAAGUUGAGUAGGGCUGCGAUUAGAGAUGUCAACGGGUCGGAUUCGGGGCGGAUUUUUAAAAACCCGAACCCGAACCCGACUCCAAACCGAGACCCGAACCCGAACCCGAACUCAACGGAUUUUAAAAAUCCAUGUCCAAACCCGAACCCGACCAAAAAUCCGAAACCCUAAUCCGAACCCGAACCCGAAAAUUUGAACCCGAAACACUUAUUUCUUUUUUGAAUAUUUCAAAAUAUUAUUAUAUUAAAUCUAAAUUUUUAAAAUACAAAUUCAAAUAUAACAUCAAAUUUUUAUAUAUAUAUUAUAUAUAAUACAAAAUAAAUUCGGGUUCAGAUCGGAUUCGGGUUCGGGUCGGAUACAAUCAAAAUCCAUAUCCGAAUCUAUAUCCAUCGAUUUCUAUUUUUCAUUCGGGUUUGAGUUCGGAUAAAAUUUCGAAUAUCCAUACCCAUUGACAUCCCUAGCUACGAUCCACAAAAGAUCUAACAGCAAGAGAUCCAACAAUAGAUCUAACGUUCAGAUAAAUUAAGACAGAUCGAAAUCUAUAAGCAUUGUGUUUGAGCUUUUAAGUCCGAUACAUACGCACUUCCUACUGGUAUAUAUUUUAAAUAAUAAAUAAUUAGCACUUACCAUUCAUAAUAACUAUAUACUAGUGUAGAUACCCGCGCGAUGCGGCGGGUAGUUACUGCUAAAGUAAAAAAUUUAUAAAUAAUAAAAUAUGAACAUAAGUAAAUAAAAUUAUAGUAUGCCAGUAUUAAAAUAUUAGUUCACAAUGGAGAGCAUUGUAGUAAACUUUUAGAAAGAGUAAAAUAUCAACAAAAGUAAUAGUUAUAUGCAGUGAACUAUAGCCAACACAAAAACUUGAGUGACAGGCAAUAAAAGCAAAGACAAUAGGAGAGGCCACUGCAAAAUUUUGAAAAAAAUCACUUCUUAGCUUCAGAUAUAAUUGAACUGCGCUGCUAAGGAGGAAAAAUCAAAGGAACAUUCCUAGCAGUUUACCGGAUCGACUCGAAUUGUCCAUGGAACGUUCCAUAUCGUCAAUCUCUGCAGGUUUGAAUCGAUUUACGUCGCCAUAUCAAAUCAAACAUUAAAAAAAAAAAGAAAAAAAGAAGAAGAAGAAAGCAAUUCAAAUUAAUAUUUUGUUGUGCAUACUUCACAGCCUACCAUUCCAUUCCUUAAACAAAUGAAAUAGAAUGAAAUACUACCAAUCGAAUGGGAAAUUAGAAAAAACGAAGCAAAUAUUUUGAUGCUACAAAAAGAAUAGGGCAAUAACAUGAGAAGUAGACCAUCAAGAGAAAAUAAUAAUCUGGAAGAAUAUUCCAGGAGCCAACCAUCAAGACUGACGCUUCCCCCAAUUCCUCUCAGAAAAGAAGUAUCUUCAUAGUAUGACACAGCCUAUAGAAUAAUCAAAGCAUUUUCUAAUGAUCUUCAAAAUAUCUAUUUAUUCUAGCAUAAAGACAGAUAGAGAAAGAAAACAGAACAAUAAAUAAAAAUAAAAACACCAAUUACUUUGCCAAAUAGAUUUUUGAAAUAGACAACAUUAACUUUCAAUUAACUCAAAAUAGACUGCAAACCCAGAAAACAAAAGUACAAAUUUUCUUGCACAAAUUACAGCACAAAAGAGCCUCGAAACCUAUUCUGAGUUACUUUGAGUUUUGAAUACUCAACUUUGAAUAUAAAAAUCAAGAUAGUUUACCAUUAUAUCGUUAGAAACUGAAUGAAUCUGAAAUUUACAUGGUUCCGUAAUUAUCUAUAUGAAGAAAAUAAAAAUAUAAGCUUACACUUUAUGUUUCUUCAGGUAAAAAAAAUAAAUCUUUUAAUAAAAUCCUAUCUUCCUCUUAUUCCAACAAAAAAGUUCAAACAAAAUACCAAAAAAAAACUUUCUGAAAAAUCAUAAUCGAGAAAACUAAAUUAGAGAAAUAUAGAAAAUUUUGAUCAAAUCAUAGUCAAGCUUGAGGCGGGUGAGACUCUCGUCGACGCUGCGCGACACGCGCUUGGCUCUAAGGUCGAACCUGUCGGCAUAGUGCCCACACUUGGUGGAGACGACGAUCAAUAAAAACUCAAUUUUAGAAGUCUUAAAAAGAAACCCAAAAUACUAACUAAUUGUAGACAGUAAAAGUAUCACCAAGAUAUGAGAAGAAGUUAUCAAUUAUAUUGAAGGAUCAUUCAUUGAAAGUAGGCAUUUAAUUUAAUUAUAUAGGCAUAAAAAUGGAAGAAAAUAAAUGCCUCAAAUAGGUAGUGGAGGGAUGUAACGGUAAAGGUAAAAAUAAAGGGAAAUGAAUGUCUCAAAUAUGUAGUGGAGGAUUGUUAAUUUUAAUUAAAAAAUCAGUAAAUUUAUUUAUUAUAGGUAGUGGAGGGAUGUAACGGUAAGGAUAAAAAUGAAAGAAAAUAAAUGCCCCAAAUAGAUAAUGAAGGAUUGUUAAUUUUAAUUAAAAUUAAAAAAUUUAUUUAUUUAUUGGAGGUGAUAAUUAGCAGUAGUGGAGAAAGAAGGGAAUGGGAGUAGGAGGGUGAGGGAGGGGGUGCCACGUGGCAAAAGUAUUAAGGAUUCAUAUUAUGUAAUGUAAUAGAUAAUAGAUAUCUUAUUUAAUUUAAUAUAAUAAAAAAUCUGAUAAUUAUAAAUAAUUUAUUUUUUUUAUGAUUUUAUGUGAAACCAAACGGAAGAGGUUUUAAAUGGUGGUGGGCCGUGGGGGCAUAGGGAAACCCGUCAACGGGCAAUGAAUGCUGGUGUGGCCACGUGGCGGGGCAUUGGCAUGGUAGGAUGGUAGUAUUGCAUUAUUGUGUUUUGGGGAGGCGUGGAAAAUUAAUGUGUGUGGUUUCUCGGCGUGGCCCCGAACCGGCAACGGCCUUGAGAAAGCAACAAAUCUGAACUCCGUGCCUUCGUAAUCCUAACAUUACUUUGACAACCACCAUUUCGGUUCUUGGCUGCUUCUUUUUUUUUCUUUUUAAUCCUUACUAAUUACCCUGUUUAUUUUUUAAAUUUUAAUUUAUUAUAAUUAAAUUUUAUAAUUUUAUUUAAUUUGUAUCGAUUUUUUGUCAACUAGUGAAGUUACUCGUGCAUUGCGAUGUAAUGAUACUAUCGAAGAGGCAAAUUCUGAUCUUUACAUCGCCUUCAAUCCUAGUGUCGAGCUCCUUCUUAGCCAUGAUCAUGUCAAUUUCAUAUAAAUUCUUCCACAUUCACUGUUUUUUCUCCCUCACUGACUCCAAAUCCAUCACCGUUUUCUCCUGCCGCGUCCCGUCGCGAUUCUCGGAACCCUAAUUUCAAUCAACGCAUAAUUAAAAUAAAAAAUUAAAAAAGUUACAAAACAUAAGCUCUUCUUGUGCGCCAAGAAAAAAAGAAAAAAGAAAAUAAUAUGAAAAAAAAAUGAAGAAACUUUAUUUUACUCAUUUGUUUUUAUGAAAAUAAUUGAGAGGGGGAAGUUUGGAAGGUGAAACAUUAGAUGGAGAUGAAACCAUAUAAAUACAUUACUUUUUUUUGAGAGAAAUAAAUACAUUAAUUGAGAGGUGGGGGUUAGGAAGAUGAAGCAUUAGGCGGAAAUGGAAUCAUGUAAACACAUUAAUUGAGAGGUGAAGGUUAAGAAGAUAAAGUAUUUGGUGAAAAUGGAACUAUAUAAAUACAUUAAUUGAAAGGUGAGGGUUAGAAAGAUAAAGCAUUGGGUGGAGAUAUGAGUGGAAAGAGGGAAGCUAACGGUGAAGAAGGAUUCGCAACGUGGCAAAAAUUUAGCAGAAAUAAUGUAUAAGUAUAAAUAUAAAUAUAGAUAUAAAUAUGACAGUAAUAUAGGAUGUUAGAGCCCAUUUGGUUUUGAAGUUUCUCUAAUAUUAUUUAGAGCAAAAAAACAAAAAAUUGGAUGAAAAUAUGUCUCCACGUAUUUCAUGGUCCUUCGUUGGAACCAAAGACUGUUACAAUUUGCGCAAUAGAAAAUUUUUCUAUCGUUAUUUUUUAUCGUACACACUAUAAUUUUUCUGUAAUCUCAAAUUUUAAUUAUUUUUGGUUAUCAAUUAAGCAAUGCCACAUCAUUGCUACCUCAACGGCACAUUUCCGUUCAGCCAGCUUAAUUGGACUACAAAGCUUAAUUGUAAUUAUUCUAAAGGCUUAAAAAAAUUAUAAGUAAUUAAAUUUGAGAACCAAAGUUAAAGCUGUCCAAAAUAUUUAAUACAUCAUACCCGAUCCGGACCCUAUUCGGACUCGAACCAGACCCGUAAAAAAUAGAUAGUAUACAGGUAAAAAAAAUUACUCAUUAAAAUUUUGGGUAUGAAUUCAGAUAUUUUAUACCCAUACCCGAUUUGAACCCGAUCCGAAGGGUAGGAUCUGGAAUAGUUUUAAAAUCAGGAUUCGGACUCGAACCCGAUAAAAUAUUCGAUAGUAAAUAAAAAAGAUUUGAACUUUUGAAAUUGAGAAAUCAAUUUUAAUAGGACUUAUAAAUAAGGGGUCUCUAAGUAUUUUCAUUCUAAUGAAACAUUGAAAUUUUAGCCGCUCUUUCACUCCUUUUUUUUCUAAUUUUUUUACUCUUUAUUUUUUGCUCUUUAUUUUUUUUGCUUCAUUUCCACCUAAGAAUUUUUUAUAAAAUAAUAUUUUCAUCGUCGUCAUUAUCAGCGAUAUUAAUCCUUUACAAGCACGACACAACUACACAAGUGAGUUUUUUCGAAAUCCCUUUCCAAUUAUAGUCAACAACUUGAUUUUUUUAUGAAUAUUCUAUUUAGUAAACUUUCUAAAUACUCUUUUUUUUUUCUCUUUUUGAAUGUUAUAUAAUCCUCAAAUUUUAUUUUUAUUUACUUACGAGAUAGUUGAGAGUAAAUAGGUCAUUUUAAAAGUUAACUUAACUUUAACCACUUAAUAACUACGGUAAAGCUAACACAACUAACGGUAGGAAUAUUGAUGAUAAUUUUCUGUAAACGUUUACAGAGACCUAUGUGAUAUUUUAAAUUUUGUAAGGCAUUUAUGAUAUCUUAGAUUUUGAGGAGUAUUAUGAAAUUGCCCUCUAUUAUAUAUUAUAUAUAUAAUAUAUAUAUAUAUAUAUAUAAUAUAUAAUAGUAUAUAUAUAUAUAUAUAUAUAUAUAUUUAUAUAUUAUAUAUAUUAUAUAUAUAUAUAUAUAUAAUUAUGCUACAGUAUAUCUAUCAAUAGUACCAAGUUUGUACUAUUGAGUUUUUGGCCGUUGAAUGAAUAGAUGUGCGGUUAUGAUGAUAGUGGUCCCCGGUUAAAUUAAUAGUGGUUUCCAUAGGGUUGAGGUGGAUGGUGGUUUAAUAGUAUAUCUAACGGGUGGAAAUGAUCAAAGGCUAGAAUCUAACGGUAGAAAACUCAAUAGUACCAAGGGCUUGUACUAUCGAUAGUAUAGUAGCCGGACUUCUAUAUAUAUAUAGUUAUAUAUAUAUUAGAGUCCGGCUACUAUGUUUUAUUAAUAGCACGGAGACUUGGUGCUAUUAAGUUCCCGCCGUUAGAUCUACUCUUUUGAUCAUUUCACCCGUUAGAUCAUACUAUUCAACCAACCACUCACUUUAACCUUAGGGGCCCACUCAUCCUAACCACACAUUUCUUAACUCAAUGGCCAAAAACUUGGUGCACCAAUGACUUGGUGCUAUUAAUAGCAUUAGUAGCUAGUUCUAAUAUAUAUAUAUAAUAUAUAUUAUAUAUUAUAUAUAUUAUAUAUAUUGAUUGUAAGUUUGACAUGUCUUGACGCGAGAAUGUUAGGUUUGGAGUUCAAUCAGAUUGCAAUUCCUCCAUCAAUCUGUAGAAAAUCUUCUUGAUUUUUCAAAUCAAUUUUUCCAUAUAUGAUAUGGACAUAAAUUAUCCUAUUAAAUUAUAUAAAUGGAAAAACAUUAUCCCUGAACCAAGCAGAGCAUUGUAGAUUUUAUAUAUAUAUAGAGUUGAGCUAAAAUACUCUCAAAAGCACCAUGAGGGUGGUGCUUUUGAGUUUUUUGCCAUUAGAUUAAGAGAUGUGAGGUUGAGAUGAUGGUGAUAGAUGGUGAUAGGUGGAAUAGUAUCUGAUCCAAUAGUUAUUAGUAAUUAAGGAGUAGAUCCAAUGGCUAAAAACCUAAUAGCACCAUUGGGGUAAUACUUCUAAAAAUAUUUUAGCUCAAUUCUAUAUAUAUAUAUAUAUAUAUAUGUAUAUAUAUAAUUUAUUUUUUUAAUGCAAACUGGUUCAGUAAUUUGGUCCAGUAAUUAGUUAGGAUAGAAAUAUUUGAUUAAAUAGUGGCGAAUAUUAAAAAAAUGUUAUGGAAAAUAAGACAAAGGAUAAAUCAAAAAAUGACUCUGUUCCACGGGUAUGUAGAAUUAGGGAUGCAAACAGAGUGGAUUCGAUUCAGGGACAGAAGAGGUCACCUUCAUUCCUCUCCAUUUCCUUGGUUGUGGGAGCCGAUUCACAGUUGGUUAAUUUUUUAUCCUAUUUUUUGCUCCUAUUUAUCAUUCCAUUUGAAGUAGGUCAGUAUAAGAACGAAUUUUUGACGAAUCAGAGCGAAGUAAUUAGGGGGCGUUUAGAUUGACGAAUUUGUAUAUCCAACAUAUAUAACUCAAGUGUAGUGGUGUUUGAAUUUUCCUGAAGUGUGACUAUUUUUUUGUUAUUUGUUUUGAUAUAACUUGUACAGUUUGAAAGUUAAAUUCAAUUAUUUUUUUUUAUUUAUUUUGAUCUAAUUUGGUGUCAGUGAAAUUAGUUUUUUUUAGUUUUAUUGUUUGUUUUGAUAUAAGUAAGUGAAUCUCGCUAUCUUCUGCAUAUAUUGAUAAACUUGCCGCUUUAAAAUUUAACCUAUUAAAUUAUUAAAUUUUUUAUUAUUAUUUAAAGGUAAUUCUAAUUUAUUAUAAAUAAGUUAAUUCUAACCUAUUAUAAAGAAAAUAGAGUUUAAGUUUUACUAUUUAAUAAAUUUUUUAGAAAAGGUUGAGUGUGUUGGAAGUCAAGUUCGACACUUUAAAGGAAAAAGUCGAUAGUAGGUGAAGUGGAGGUCUAAUGUAACUUGAGUUGCACUAUAUUUUUGACUUACAUCAAAACAAAUAUCGGAAGUAAUGAAAAAACAAAUACCGGAAGUAAUAAAACUUGGGUUCCACCCCUCCGCUUAUACUAAAACAAACGGCCCCGAAGGAAUACAGAAGGUUUCCAACCUACUCUUCUAUUCUCUUUCAGAGCAUUUUAUUUUUUUAUUUUUUUAAUUUUUAACCUCCACUUAUGAUUUUAUUCGGGACAGAUCAGAGGAGAAGCCCUGUCAACCUUGAUUCAUUUGCAUUCCUAGACAAGAUUACUCUUAACGUAUUAUUCCAAAUAAAUUAUUGUUCAAGAUUGCUGUCAUCUGCUUCGAUCUAGAUAAUUAAUUUUAUUGUUGUUAAAUUUAGCUAUGUUUGGCGAAACAUAUAUAUGCGAAACACAUUACUUUUAUUCGAUGCUCAUUCUAUUUCCAGGCUCAAGCAAGCAGUAGCUUCUACCAAACAAAAUUUAUACUAAAAUAACUUAUCUGGGCAUCUAAAUGGAACUAAACGGUGAUGGUUGUACUCUUUAAUUUAAUUAGCAAGUGAUUAGCAAGUGAUUAGUUGCACACUAAUGUGAUUUGCCCUUUAUUUAAAAGGCAGUUUAUUGGUGGAUUGGAAGGGUGGUCAGGGUGUAUCCAACAGUCCAAAUGCGUCCAACGUUUUCCACCACAAGCACAGCUCAUGAUGCUGUGUGAUUGCGCAAGCAUCACACUCAAUAAUUAAUUAUUGGGUUAAUUGCAUAUACGUACCUGUAAACAUGAUGAAUUGUAGAUAUAUUUCUGCAAAACUCAACUUUCAUAAGCUGUCACUACAAAAAUCCUAAUGUAUUCACAUAUGUUCUUGCCGUGAGCUUCCGUUGGAAAAAUUUCGUUAACCUCAGUUAAAAUACUUAACCAUAAUUAAUUAAUAAGGUGAAUUUAUAAUUUACCCCUUUCUUCUUCCUCUCCCUCUUCCUCUUCCCUAUUCUUCGUCGCCGGCGAACCUGACCCCGACCUCGUCGCGGCGGCAAACCCUCUUCCUCUUUCUCUUCCCUCUUCCUCUCCCUCUUUCUCUUCCCCCUUCUUCUUCCUCUCCUUUUUCCUCUUCCCUCUUCUUCGUCGUCGGCGAACCCGACCCCAACCUCACCGACCUCAACCUAGCCGUGGCGGCAAACCCUCUCCCUCUUCCUCUUCUUCUUCUUCUUCCCUCUUCCUCUCUCUCUUCCUCUUCCCCUUUCUUCUUCCUCUCCCUCUUCCUUUUCCCUCUUCUUCGUCGCCGGUGAACCAGACCCCGGCCUCACCGAAGCGCCACCGACGCUGACCUCCCCCUUGCCUCCAAGCUCCUCCGGCCUCCGCAGCCUCCUUCUUCUUCUUCUUUGUAUCCUCCUCUUCUCCUCCUUCUUUAUUGUCGUCGUCGAUGAUCCGUCGUCGCCGCCGUCCGCCCCCGUGGCCCGAAGAGGAAGAGGGAGUACUUUUUGAGGGGUAUAUUUGUGAGAGCAAAAUUAUCAUUUCACAAGUAUACUGUUAAAAAAUUUAACAGUUCUCUAACAGAUCCUAACUAGAGGGACAUAUCUGAAUACAUUAGGAUUUUUGUAAGAAUAACUUAUGAAGUUGAGUUUUGUAGGAAUAUAUCUGCAAUUUAUUAUGUUUGAAAUGACGUGUAUGCAAUUAGCCCUUAAAUAUUUUAUGCUCACUGUUCAUAGUACAAAAACAAAAAGACUUGAUGGACAGUACCUGCGAUUUUAAGUUUGAAAUCUAAUUGUAUCAAGUGAUUUAAAUUCUAUUUGGUUGCGUGAACACUUAAGUAAUAUUUAAUUUUUUUCAUUUAGAAAGUAUAUGAUAUUUGAUAGAUGAGUAGCUUAAUCAAAUGUAUAUAAAAUGAUUAUUAUAUUUGACCCGUAAGUUAUUAUUUCAGAAUAAGAUAAAUAUUUGGAGGGAUAAAAUGUAUUAUCUUACUAAAUUAUGAAUGAUGGGAUUUUUUUAAAAAAAGCAUAAAUCAUGCUGCUUGCGUCAAAUUACACAAAAAAAUCCUAUACUAACAAUAUUUAGAUAUAUAUAUAUAUAUAUUUUAUUUGAUAUAUCUAUUUGAUUUACUUAAAAAACUUAUAAAUUUAGCAAAUGAAGAGUUCGAUCACACGUCUUUUUUAUUUUUUGCAUAAGAUGUUAAAUUAUGAAUAGCGAGAUCUUUUAAUGUGCAAAAAUCAAACUCUUUACUUAUAAUCAUAUUAAAAAAAAAUUUAUAUCAAAUAAGUUAUUCUUGGUGAUCAUUAAAUAUUUUAUUCCGUCAUCAGAACACGGCCUUAUUUUAUUUACAAAAAAUGACAUAGAAACUUAAAUAUGGUAUACAUCCAAGACAUUGAUCAUAGUUGUUAUUUAUUUGAUACUAUAAAUUUCCUAAACAAGUCAAAAAAUAUUUCAAAUAAAAAAUUUUAUAAGUUCAAAAAAGAACACCAUAAUAUGUAAUGUUUGAAAUAUACUUAUAUACAUUAGGAGAAGGAUCGGCAAUCACGUGCGCCGUCCUCGAACCAGCUCGUAUUCGGCUAAAAAUUAAUGAGUUCGAAAUGAAUUAUCUGUUUUAACAAACGAGCCGAACACGAGUUACGAAAAUAAACAAUAAGGAAGAAAUAAUUUUUAUCGAAUUUUACUUUAAUUCAAAAUUCAGUUUUGAUAAAACAAACAAAUACUAAUUUUUAUUUUAUUUUAUUUUAUUUUUUUUAUUUUUUUAAGAGGUGGGCGUUCUUCACGAGGGUUGAUAAUGGGGAUGGGCGUGGAGGGUUGUCUGGCCGAGGAAAGGCGACCAGACAGCAUAUCAAAUGGGGCCCAUUUCAGUUUUUGGAAAGGCAUGUCAGCCUUUUCUUGUUUCUUUAUUAUAGUUAAGUUCAGUUAAUAAGCUGUGUUCUUUUAAGGCCAAUUUAUAAUUAUUAUAUUAUUCUUUUUAUUUAGGUGGCCAACGAAAAUUGAUUCCUCAGCUGCAUUACCCAAAUGAACACUUUUGCACACUUUUUUGCAUAAACCAUUUUUUACUUAUAUUACUAUUAGUUUUUCAUAAGAGUUGCUACAAUUUUUAAUUACUAUAAUUUUUAGACUAACUUUUUUGCAUUAAUCUUAUUGUUUUUAUUCUAAUACAAAAAAUUUAAAAGAAUUAGUUAAACUGUGGAACGGAGGUUAAUUUAUACAAUUAUACUAUACUUUGGUUGUAGAUUUUUAGCUAGUUUUCCAACACAUUAGCAUUACAUGAAAGCAGUUACAACAAUUGUCUAAAAUUUUAGGCCUUUUUGCAUAAAAAAUUCACUUAUUUUGGGUUUUUGCAAAAUCGGGACACCUUUUUCGUUUUUGCAGAUUCGGUCCACUUUUUCAGCAAACUGACCAAAAUACCUUUAUAUAUUUUUCUCUCUUCUCUUUUUUUUCUCUCUCCUUUCUUCGAUCUCGUCGCCGCAGACCCCCAGCCCUAGACCGACUCCCCCUCUCCUCCUCGCCUCCUCGUCCUUGGCCCCACCCCUACCGCCUUCGCCGCCGCCAACGUAGGAGGAGCGACGGUGUUGGUAGAGGAGAAUGAGUGGCUGCGACGGAGCAACGCGGCGGUGGUGGCGGAGCUGGCCCCGAGCUUCGCGGCUUCUCCUCUCGUCGCAACCCGCGGCCUCGUCGACCAGCGUAGGUCGGCGGCCGCCAAGCCCGAGCUCAACAGCGCGAGCACCACCUCGAGCAGCUCCCUCACCAUCGACGACGAGCUUUCGACACCACCGCCGUGAGAUGGGGCUGCUGGGGCUCUCGCUAUACGCCGACUCCGCCGAGCGCUGCGGCGUGUAAAACGUCUCCUCGUCCGACGACGCCAUCGGCGCCACCGCGCGCCGCCGAGGCGGCGGCGGAAGGGGCGUCCCCGUCAGCGGAGAUCGAGGGAGUCGAGCUCCUCCACAGGAGGAAGAAGAAGAAAAUGAAAAAGAAGAAGAAAAUGAAAAAGACCCGCGCGUGUUCUUCUCCGUCGGCAAAUGGUGUAAUGGUGUAAUGGUGUAAUGGCGUAAAUAGUGUAAUGGUGUAAUGGUGUAAUGGUAAUGGUGUAAUAGUAAUGGUGUAAUAGUGUAAUGGUAAUGGUGUAACGGUAAUGGUGUAAUGGUGUAAUUCUAUCGCUCUUUUUUUUUUCU